RNAcentral lists this transfer RNA (69 nucleotides) under Ictidomys tridecemlineatus (thirteen-lined ground squirrel). RNAcentral's name for it is "Spermophilus tridecemlineatus (thirteen-lined ground squirrel) tRNA". It matches the Rfam family "tRNA". From Rfam's summary of the family: Transfer RNA (tRNA) molecules are approximately 80 nucleotides in length. Their secondary structure includes four short double-helical elements and three loops (D, anti-codon, and T loops). Lineage: Eukaryota; Metazoa; Chordata; Mammalia; Rodentia; Sciuridae. The record is from Rfam by way of RNAcentral. RNAcentral also lists the same sequence under 1 other name.
GGGGUUGUGGCUCACUGGUAGAGCGCUUGCCUCUCAUGCGUGGGACACUGGGUUCGAUCCUCAGCACCA